Molecule: ribosomal RNA, 497 nt
Filed under: uncultured bacterium
Lineage: Bacteria
Description: partial 16S ribosomal RNA
Rfam family: Bacterial small subunit ribosomal RNA
Source: RNAcentral
GAUGAACGCUGGCGGCGUGCCUAAUACAUGCCAGUCGAGCGAACGGACGAGAAGCUUGCUUUUCUGAUGUUAGCGGCGGACGGGUGAGUAACACGUGGAUAACCUACCUAUAAGACUGGGAUAACUUCGGGAAACCGGAGCUAAUACCGGAUAAUAUUUUGAACCGCAUGGUUCAAAAGUGAAAGACGGUUUUGCUGUCAUUUAUAGAUGGAUCCGCGCUGCAUUAGCUAGUUGGUAAGGUAACGGCUUACCAAGGCAACGAUGCAUAGCCGACCUGAGAGGGUGAUCGGCCACACUAGAACUGAGACACGGUCCAGACUCCUACGGGAGGCAGCAGUAGGGAAUCUUCCGCAAUGGGCGAAAGCCUGACGGAGCAACGCCGCGUGAGUGAUGAAGGUCUUCGGAUCGUAAAACUCUGUUAUUAGGGAAGAACAUAUGUGUAAGUAACUGUGCACAUCUUGACGGUACCUAAUCAGAAAGCCACGGCUAACUACGUG